AACAGCGCAAAAAUUGGUGGUGGCGGAGCGCUCUCGCGAGCCGAUUGUUCGUGCAUAGCCCUUUCGAGAAAACGCUCGUCGAGCCGCCAAAAGAGAAGACCACGGAGGAUAAUGCGAUUUUUGAAUGUC
This is a non-coding RNA of Caenorhabditis elegans, 129 nucleotides long. NCBI's taxonomy places the organism in Eukaryota, Metazoa, Nematoda, Chromadorea, Rhabditida, Rhabditidae. The record is from Ensembl.